GUUGCCGCUUCCCUUUCAUUCCGCGGAAAGGUGCAGGGCCAGCCUGGCCCGCAGCAGCCGCCUGUGAUGCGAGGGAGCGAGUGGCCCAGAUGGACAGGGUCAGCUCCAGACGCUCGGACACACUUCCGACAGUAGCCAUUCCCGGAGCCUUCGUUAAGUGCGGACACAAAGUCCUCAGUGCAUCUGACAGGAGGAGGCUCUCCGGUGCGCGGGAACGGUUCCGAGUUCUGAAGCCUCCGCCACGCGGCCGGCACCGCGACACUCCCUCCGAGUGGGAAGUCGACUGAGUUCGACUCUCACGCCCAGCAAGGAGGUGCUGACACAGACGUCUUCGGCGACCUCAUUAGAGGCCUAACAAGAGGGAGGACUGUGUCAGGGUCACCCCGAGGUCAGGCAGGACAAAGAAACAAACAAUGCAGCACAAGUGUCCCUGUGAGGCAGCUCCUCAGACCUGGCUGCACGGCUCAAGGAGCUAAAACAGUUUCACUGCCGGGACUUCAAGAUGCACCGCAGCAAGUUCAGCUUCAAGUGCGUGUCUCAGGACUGCGGCCUGGGUUCUGCAGCCCAGCAGGCCUGGGAGCUCAGCGGGACUGACCGCGCCUGCCGGGGAAUGGUCCAGAAGCACACAACCGGGGCUCCCAUUUACAUCUUCCCCGCUCUCCGGCACCCCCUCUCUGCUCGGGCCACAGUCCAGCUCAGCUCCCUUCGUUCAGAACUGCGGUGGUUCAAGCGAUUCUCCUUAAAGGGAACAGCAUCGCUGAGCACCAGCUCGCCUCUUCGGGCUCGGAGAGCUUGCUGGGGCGGAUGGAUUCCGUCUAAACUCACAGGAGGUCCAGGCGCAAGAGGAAGAGCAGUGCGAUUCCCAGGAGGUGGAGGAAGGGGGCGGGAGGCACAGGGGAGCAGCCCUCUCGGGUGGAUGGACACACAGACUUCUCUCUUCCUCGGCAGUGAGGUGGGAGGGGUGCGGCUGUGGGAGAGCAGAGCUGUGAGGGUUCUGCCCAGCUCGGCGGCGAGAGGGUGCACCAAGGAGAGGGCUGUGGGGCUUGCCGCCUGCGGCUGCUUGCUGUGGAUCCCUGGGCCGGGGGAGGAGGGUGGCAGACAAACUCCCUCUUCUGAUGCCCCUUCCUUAGCAGAGGGGGCGGGCCAAGGCUUCCUUCUUCCCUUCAUCUCCCAGAAGCAGCGCCAGCUACCACAGCCCCAUCCAUUCUGUGCUGGGGCCCAUCACCUUCAGGUGCAUCGUUCAUUCAUUCAUUCAUUCAUUCACUCACCCCACACUUACUGAGAAGCUAGCCUGUGCCGGCAGACACAGCAACGAAUAGCCUCUGGCCCAGGGGGCACACAGGCUGAUGGAGGAGUCGCAAUCCUAACUGUACCAGCUAAUACCUAUUGAACCCUCAGAUGUGCCAGCUUCUAGCCCUCAAGACCCAGGAGCUUUCUGAAGCCGAGGUCUGAGUAUCCACCUCCAUUCCCCACUGUAUCAGUCACCUUGUCCGCGGUAACGAAAUACAGUAGACCGGGUAACGUGACGGCAGAGAUUUAUUUCUCACAACUGUUCUGCAGACUGGAAGUCCAAGAUCAGGGUUCUGGGUGGGCUCUCAAGAGAAAUCCUCCUGGCUGCCUUCUUGCUGUACCCUCACAUGGCAGAGAGAGAGAGAGGGGGGAGGGGAAUUCUAGUCCCUUCCUCUUUCGUAGUCCUAUCUUGGGACCCCCAUCCUCAUGACCUCACCCAAACCAAAUUACCUCCCAAAGGACCCAUCUCUGAAUGCCAUCACAGUGGAGCCAGGGGUUCCACAUAGGAGUUGGGGGAUGCCGUGGGCGCUCAGCAAACGUUUGCUGAGCUGCACGGAGAUCUGUCUGUCUGUUGUUUCUCUGUCCCACCUUGUCCCCCAGGCCCCGGCGUGGGGGGUUUUAACAGAGGGACACCGCAGGCCCGACCAGCCUACAGCUGGCCCUCCCGCCAGCCUGCGCUCUAAUUUUCUGAUGCUUUGCUGUUUCCCCUCUCACAACAUAAUCUCCCUGAUCUCCAGUCUUUCCCGAAUGCUGUGGAAAGGCUUGUUGUAUUUAUCUCCGGAGAAUCUGCCGUGCCCCUGUGCAAUUUUCCAUUGUCAUGGUUCAUUUUAAUUUCCUCUAAGGCUGUUGGCCACUCUCGUGUUCAGAAAUAGCUUGUUCCACUUAAUAAAAGCGCUUAAAUAUGCA
Molecule: long non-coding RNA, 2196 nt
Organism: Phyllostomus hastatus (greater spear-nosed bat)
Lineage: Eukaryota; Metazoa; Chordata; Mammalia; Chiroptera; Phyllostomidae
Exons: 3
Source: RefSeq, a predicted model, not a curated record